ACUACGGGUGGCUGCAGUGAGGAAUAUUGGUCAAUGGGCGGAAGCCUGAACCAGCCAAGUAGCGUGCAGGAUGACGGCCCUACGGGUUGUAAACUGCUUUUAUACGGGAAUAACGCGCCUUACGUGUAGGGCUUUGCAUGUACCGUAUGAAUAAGGACCGGCUAAUUCCGUGCCAGCAGCCGCGGUAAUACGGAAGGUCCGGGCGUUAUCCGGAUUUAUUGGGUUUAAAGGGAGCGUAGGCCGCAUGUCAAGCGUGCUGUGAAAUGUCCGGGCUCAACCCGGGCCUUGCAGCGCGAACUGGCGUGCUUGAGUCCGCGGAAAGCAGGCGGAAUUCGUCGUGUAGCGGUGAAAUGCUUAGAUAUGACGAAGAACCCCGAUUGCGAAGGCAGCUUGCUGCAGCGGAACUGACGCUGAUGCUCGAAAGCGCGGGUAUCGAACAGGAUUAGAUACCCCGGUAGUC
RNAcentral lists this ribosomal RNA (460 nucleotides) under uncultured bacterium. Its description in RNAcentral is "partial 16S ribosomal RNA". It matches the Rfam family "Bacterial small subunit ribosomal RNA", at positions 338 to 795 of the family's 1533-position model. The record is from RNAcentral.